This 484-nucleotide ribosomal RNA is filed under the name uncultured bacterium. RNAcentral describes it as "partial 16S ribosomal RNA". It matches the Rfam family "Bacterial small subunit ribosomal RNA", at positions 30 to 507 of the family's 1533-position model. The record is from RNAcentral.
AUCGAACGCUGGCGGCAGGCUUAACACAUGCAAGUCGAGCGGUUGAAGGGAGCUUGCUCCUGGAGUCAGCGGCGCACGGGUGCGUAAUGCCUAGGAAUCUGCUUGGUAGUGGGGGAUAACGUCCGGAAACGGCCGCUACUACCGCAUACGUCCUGAGGGAGAAAGUGGGGGAUGUUCGGACCUCACGCUAUCAGAUGAGGCUAGGUCGGAUUAGCUAGUUGGUGGGGUAAAGGCCUACCAAGGCGACGAUCCGUAACUGGUCUGAGAGGAUGAUCAGUCACACUGUAACUGAGACACGGACCUGAGUCCUACGGUAGGCAGCGGUGGAGAAUAUUGGACAAUGGGCGAAAGCCUGAUACAGCGAUGCCGCGUGUGUGAGGAGAGUCUUCGGAUUGUAGAGCUCUUAACGUUGGGAGGAAGGGCAGUAAGUUAAGUCCUUGCUGUGUUGACGUUACCAGCAGAAUAAGCGCCGGCUAACUACGUG